GUUCCAGCCGCCGCGGUAAUACGGAGGGUGCAAGCGUUAUCCGGAUUCACUGGGUUUAAAGGGUGCGUAGGAGGACUGGUAAGUCAGUGGUGAAAUCCCCGAGCUUAACUUGGGAACUGCCGUUGAUACUAUCAGUCUUGAAUACCGUGGAGGUGAGCGGAAUAUGUCAUGUAGCGGUGAAAUGCUUAGAUAUGACAUAGAACACCAAUUGCGAAGGCAGCUCGCUACACGAAUAUUGACUCUGAGGCACGAAAGCGUGGGGAUCAAACAGGAUUAGAUACCCGAGUAGUCC
RNAcentral lists this ribosomal RNA (292 nucleotides) under uncultured bacterium. RNAcentral describes it as "partial 16S ribosomal RNA". It matches the Rfam family "Bacterial small subunit ribosomal RNA", at positions 505 to 796 of the family's 1533-position model. The record is from RNAcentral.